Ipomoea nil (Japanese morning glory) is the source of this 73-nucleotide transfer RNA. It matches the Rfam family "tRNA". Rfam says of the family: Transfer RNA (tRNA) molecules are approximately 80 nucleotides in length. NCBI's taxonomy places the organism in Eukaryota, Viridiplantae, Streptophyta, Magnoliopsida, Solanales, Convolvulaceae. The record is from Rfam.
GGGGGUGUAGCACAUAUGUUAGAGCGCUCGCUUCGCAUGGGAGAGGCACGGGGUUCGAUUCCCCGCACCUCAA